Paramuricea clavata is the source of this 279-nucleotide non-coding RNA. Lineage: Eukaryota; Metazoa; Cnidaria; Anthozoa; Malacalcyonacea; Plexauridae. The record is from the annotation of a GenBank genome assembly.
AUCAAUUCAUAACUCCAUCAGCUGGUCAAACCACUCAACCUUCCUCUACUACUGAAAGUACCACUCAACCUUCGUCAACUACAGAGGAAAUCAUUCAAUCUUCCUCCACUACUGAAAGUACCACGCAAACUUUCUCUACUACAGUGGAAAUCAUUCAACCUUCCUCCACCACUGAAAAUACCACUCAACCUUCUUCCACUACUGAGGGUGCGACUCAACUUUCCUCCACUACUGAGGAUACCACUCCACCUUCCUUCACUACUAAGAAUUCUAGACCAG